RNAcentral lists this long non-coding RNA (581 nucleotides) under Salvia miltiorrhiza (redroot sage). RNAcentral describes it as "long non-coding RNA (SMIL_LNC001378)". The record is from RNAcentral. Lineage: Eukaryota; Viridiplantae; Streptophyta; Magnoliopsida; Lamiales; Lamiaceae.
GUAAAACAUGAUUAUGCUCGUUGGUAUGAAUGCAAACUCGAUUGGAUAACUGAGGUAGUAUAAAUACCUUGAAUGAUGCUUGCUUUGGUGUUUGUUGGCUGUUGUGUUGGAUUAAAUGAAGCAGCAGAUCGAACUGAAAUAAUAAAGUUGUUCUUGCAUUAAUGCAGGUGGAAUAAGGGAAGAAGGUGGAGCAUUGAAGACAAGCUUACCUUGAGAAUACUUGGUAGGAUGAAUUAAAGGCUCACUUCUCCUUGUGCAGUCCUCAAAUGAAGAAUGAAGAGAAUGCAACAAUGUUGGCUGUUUUGAAUGACGAGGUGGUUUGGCUGGGAGCUUGUAUACAUGGGAGGAGGUACAUUCUAGGGUGGCUGAUUGACAUAUUUAGGUGUACUUGGGCAUGGCAGCCUGCUGCAUAGGCGUGGGAAAAGAAAAGGUGCAGCAAGCUCAAGAGGGGAUAGGGGAGUGUGCAGCACAUGUCUCCAUACCUUAUUGUUAUUCCCAUUCUUGAACUUAGGGGGGGGUGGCAGGUGGUGGAGUAGUAAAAAUCUAAUUUGUAUUAUUAUCGAGAUUGCUAAAUUAAAUCC